UCGACGGUGAGGGGUGAAAGCUGGGGGAGCAAACCGGAUUAGAUACCCGGGUAGUCCCAGCUGUAAACUAUGCAAACUCAGUGAUGCAUUGGCUUGUGGCCAAUGCAGUGCUGCAGGGAAGCCGUUAAGUUUGCCGCCUGGGAAGUACGUACGCAAGUAUGAAACUUAAAGGAAUUGGCGGGGGAGCACCACAAGGGGUGAAGCCUGCGGUUCAAUUGGAGUCAACGCCUGAAACCUUACCCGGAGAGACAGCAGAAUGAAGGUCAAGCUGAAGACUUUACCAGACAAGCUGAGAGGUGGUGCAUGGCCGUCGCCAGCUCGUGCCGUGAGAUGUCCUGUUAAGUCAGGUAACGAGCGAGAUCCCUGCCUCUAGUUGCCACUAUUACACCCUGGUGUAGUAGGGCGAAUUAGGGGGACCGCCGCAGUUAAUGCGGAGGAAGGAAGGGGCCACGGCAGGUCAGUAUGCCCCGAAACUCUGGGGCCACACGCGGGCUGCAAUGGUAACGACAAUGAGUUCCAAAAUCGAAAGAUGGAGGUAAUCUCUAAACGUUACCACAGUUAUGAUUGAGGGCUGCAACUCGCCCUCAUGAAUAUGGAAUCCCUAGUAACCGCGUGUCAUUAUCGCGCAGUGAAUACGUCCCUGCUCCUUGCACACACCGCCCGU
RNAcentral lists this ribosomal RNA (664 nucleotides) under uncultured archaeon. Its description in RNAcentral is "bacterial SSU rRNA". It matches the Rfam family "Archaeal small subunit ribosomal RNA", at positions 691 to 1353 of the family's 1478-position model. The record is from RNAcentral.